Molecule: non-coding RNA, 90 nt
Organism: Cercophora newfieldiana
Lineage: Eukaryota; Fungi; Ascomycota; Sordariomycetes; Sordariales; Lasiosphaeriaceae
Source: the annotation of a GenBank genome assembly
GCGGGUUUAGCUCAGUUGGGAGAGCGCCAGACUGAAGUCCACUUCACUCAUAGCAUCUGGAGGUCAUGUGUUCGAUCCACAUAAACCGCA